CAACAUAUAGUUUAAUAAAAAUUUAAUUUUUGGGUAAUUAGGAUAUAUAUAUAUUUUGUUGA
RNAcentral lists this transfer RNA (62 nucleotides) under Krisna nigromarginata. RNAcentral's name for it is "tRNA-Pro". The record is from RNAcentral. Lineage: Eukaryota; Metazoa; Arthropoda; Insecta; Hemiptera; Cicadellidae.